AUUGAACGCUGGCGGCAGGCUUAACACAUGCAAGUCGAGCGGAGAGAGGUAGCUUGCUACUGAUCUUAGCGGCGGACGGGUGAGUAGUGCUUAGGAAUCUGCCUAUUAGUGGGGGACAACAUUUCGAAAGGAAUGCUAAUACCGCAUACGUCCUACGGGAGAAAGCAGUGGAUCUUCGGACCUUGCGCUAAUAGAUGAGCCUAAGUCGGAUUAGCUAGUUGGUGGGGUAAAGGCCUACCAAGGCGACGAUCUGUAGCGGGUCUGAGAGGAUGAUCCGCCACACUGGGACUGAGACACGGCCCAGACUCCUACGGGAGGCAGCAGUGGGGAAUAUUGGACAAUGGGCGGAAGCCUGAUCCAGCCAUGCCGCGUGUGUGAAGAAGGCCUUAUGGUUGUAAAGCACUUUAAGCGAGGAGGAGGCUACUUUAGUUAAUACCUAGAGAUAGUGGACGUUACUCGCAGAAUAAGCACCGGCUAACUCUGUGCCAGCCGCCGCAGUAA
This 501-nucleotide ribosomal RNA is filed under the name uncultured bacterium. Its description in RNAcentral is "partial 16S ribosomal RNA". It matches the Rfam family "Bacterial small subunit ribosomal RNA", at positions 30 to 523 of the family's 1533-position model. The record is from RNAcentral.